RNAcentral lists this long non-coding RNA (290 nucleotides) under Elaeis guineensis (African oil palm). RNAcentral describes it as "long non-coding RNA (EGUI_LNC000683)". Lineage: Eukaryota; Viridiplantae; Streptophyta; Magnoliopsida; Arecales; Arecaceae. The record is from RNAcentral.
GGUGACUACCUCAGCUGCCUUCUCUUUGAGGCGGGCAGCUUCGGCCCGACGACUCUCCUCCGCCUGGAUGGCGUCCCUCCUCGCCCGAUUCGUCGCCUCGAUAUUGGCAAGGAGCUGGUGCCCGAUCUGCAAGGGCGGCUAGGAGGUCAGAACGAAGGUCGAGAAGCUAAUUAAACGAAGGAGCGAGGAGGGGGCGGAAGCUGAAUUUGUUUACCUCGAGAAAGGACCCAAGGGAGUUCCAAACCCGCUGUUCGGGAUCGGUGCGAUCAAUCCUCUGGACGACCUCGAGC